UUACAGCUGGUCUGGAGGGCAGAUGAUCCACAAGGUUGGGUCUGGGGUCAGUUAGUAGUUGAGGAUGGGGAGGUUGGGAGCAGGUCAAGGCGGGACCGGAACAGGCCUAGGAGAAGUGUUGAAAAAGCCAGAAAACAGUGAUUGAGAGAACUGCUCCAGGUUGAGGGGAUGCUCUAGGAGUGGUAGCUUUGCUGGAGGUUCAGCUCAGGGUCCUGGAGGUCAGAUACCAGGACUUGGAGGCCUCAAGAAAAGAGUGGGGAGCCAGCCCAGCAGGGCUUAGCUGGGCAAAGGAGAGACGUUUUUAAGGUUGUGAGCAGGCAUGACAGGCACUACUGGAGAGCCCAGAAACAAGGAUUAGGCACGUGCAGGCUUACGUGCAAAUUGCAAGUCUGCAUUUCUGUAAAACCGACAACAAUGGAAAAUGUGUAAUAGAUGGACCAAUCUAAAGAUAGUCUGGAAAAAUGACCUCACUUAAGGAAAAAUCGAGCAGUUAACUUCCUGCUCACUAGCAGGUCGAAGCCUAAUCUUUAAAACUGAUGUCCUUAUCUCAGAGCUCCCUAGGUGAUAAUAUUAGCCCUCACUGACAUGGUCUAUCUUCUCCGUAAAUACCUUUCCCUCUAACAACAACAAUAAAAAUGUAGCUUUCUAGCCCACGGGGCUGUUUUUUGUUUCCUAAUAUGCCCUGAACUGAACUCCUUGGUUUAUGGAAGAAGCUCAAUGUGAAACUGCAGAUCGAC
Molecule: long non-coding RNA, 737 nt
Filed under: Homo sapiens (human)
Lineage: Eukaryota; Metazoa; Chordata; Mammalia; Primates; Hominidae
Description: HSALNT0223307
Source: RNAcentral